UUUUUUUUCGUGGCCACUACAGGGAGCGACCGCCGCGCCGCCAUCCGAUAGCGCCUGAAACGCGCUUCUGGGCACUUUUUCUCCCUGAAGACGGCCGCUGGCCUAGGUACUGAGGAGGAGAACGCCCCUAGCUCCACUUGUCCCUAAACGCGCUUCGCGCCGGUGUCAACUCACGUCAAGGUGUCCAUGUUGCGAGUGCAGUCGUAACGCUUUGGCGUUGGAUCCGAGCCCAUGGAGAAAGUUGGAGCUGUAGAGCUGUAUGUUUUUGGACAAAGUCAUCAAUUCCAUUGCUCUUCCUGUGCCAAGUGGCCAGGAUAAUGGUUGAAAUUGCUACAAUAAAGGUUAUGAUCAACAACAUUUGUUGAAAUUUUGCAUUUACUUUUGGAAGCGCAGCAUAACGCAUUCCAUGCAACAUUACUAAUGAAAAUGAGUCGACUGAAAAUGCUUAUGUUGUCUGGAGCGCAAUGGAUUAAGCGAGUGCCAUGUCGGAAUAAACAGCAUUAACUAAUUCUUUGGACAAAA
This is a long non-coding RNA of Rhipicephalus sanguineus (brown dog tick), 522 nucleotides long. RefSeq lists it as uncharacterized. The transcript is spliced from 3 exons. NCBI's taxonomy places the organism in Eukaryota, Metazoa, Arthropoda, Arachnida, Ixodida, Ixodidae. The record is from RefSeq and is a predicted model, not a curated record.